AAGGAUCAUUGAACAUGUCAGUCCAGACGGGUCACUAAACGUACCCCGGGCCAGCCGCGAGGCUUCCUCGCGGUGUGCAAGGAGCCGGCAGUCUGGGGGCUUCCAUCCGACUGUAGUCCUUCCAAUCCAUCCGCUAGCGGUGGUUCUUGAGGAUUCGGAGGAAUACCCCGGUCCGUGAGACCGAGACGGCCUUGCAGACCGGAUUCACCCAGUCGCGGCGUCCCGAUCGGCCCUGUUUGACGCUUCAAUCCAGUGGCUGAAGCUUGUGAGAGUCCGGAGACAGUCGCUCCUCAUGGAGCGCGCUGCAGCCGGACUGCCAAAUCGAAGACAACUCUCAACAACGGAUAUCUUGGCUCCUGCACCGAUGAAGAACGCAGCGAAAUGCGAUACCUAGUGUGAAUUGCAGAAUCAUGUGAAUCAUCGACUCAUUGAACGCAAAUUGCGCCCGAGGUCUAGGCCAAGGGCAUAGCUGGCUCAGCCUCGACGCACCCUAUCGCCCCAGGCGGAUUGUGGUUCACUCGAUCGACCUAGACUGGGAUCGGGCGGACUGAAACCGAAGCACCUCCGGGCCUCGACAGCUACGAUCCGGUGGCACCAUGGUAGAUCGCCUUGAUAGAUGGUGGUUCUCCCGCAUGUUGUGACUAGGAUAGGAGUGACGGCGGUCCGGAGCGUAGGAAGCAAGCAACGUAUUCGACCUGAGCUCAGGUAAGAGCACCCGCUGAACUUAA
Molecule: small RNA, 728 nt
Filed under: uncultured Botryococcus
Lineage: Eukaryota; Viridiplantae; Chlorophyta; Trebouxiophyceae
Description: eukaryotic LSU rRNA
Rfam family: 5.8S ribosomal RNA (bases 330-483)
Source: RNAcentral